Molecule: transfer RNA, 83 nt
Filed under: Acetobacter orleanensis
Lineage: Bacteria; Pseudomonadati; Pseudomonadota; Alphaproteobacteria; Acetobacterales; Acetobacteraceae
Also listed under: 1 other name
Rfam family: tRNA
About the family: Transfer RNA (tRNA) molecules are approximately 80 nucleotides in length.
Source: Rfam by way of RNAcentral
GCGAACUUGGCGGAAUGGUAGACGCAGGAGACUUAAAAUCUCCAGCCUGUAAAGGCGUGCGGGUUCGAGUCCCGCAGUUCGCA